GAUGAACGCUAGCGGCAGGUCUAAUACAUGCAAGUCGAACGAGAUUACGAGGCUUGCUUCUUAUGAAAGUGGCGCACGGGUGCGUAACGCGUAUGCAACCUACCUUAAUCAGGGGGAUAGCCCGAAGAAAUUCGGAUUAAGACCGCAUAAAAACACAGGAUAGCAUUAUCCAAUGUUCAAAUAUUUAUAGGAUUAAGAUGGGCAUGCGUGUCAUUAGCUAGUUGGCGGGGUAACGGCCCACCAAGGCGACGAUGACUAGGGGAUCUGAGAGGAUGACCCCCCACACUGGUACUGAGACACGGACCAGACUCCUACGGGAGGCAGCAGUAAGGAAUAUUGGUCAAUGGAGGGAACUCUGAACCAGCCAUGCCGCGUGCAGGAAGACAGCCCUCUGGGUCGUAAACUGCUUUUAUUCGGGAAUAAACCUUUCUACGUGUAGGAAGCUGAAUGUACCGAAGGAAUAAGGAUCGGCUAACUCCGUG
Molecule: ribosomal RNA, 482 nt
Filed under: uncultured bacterium
Lineage: Bacteria
Description: partial 16S ribosomal RNA
Rfam family: Bacterial small subunit ribosomal RNA
Source: RNAcentral